GGGGGGGGGUCCCUGCUGCCCUGCCGGGCCGCCCCGGGCGGGAGCAGCCCCCCAGGCCUGCAUUAACCUCCGCCCGUCUCCGGCUGCUCUGUCAAGUCCCCCAGAGGACCUCUCCCACAGGCCCCAAGAGCAUGCAGAACCCGGCCCGCGUGAGCAACGUCCCCAGCAACAUCAUCCGGAAAAACUCCCCCGCGGCCCGCAACGGGGGCACCGAAGCCGACGCGCAGAUCCUGGAGCUCAACCAGCAGCAAAUUGCGGGACAUCGAGCUGAUCUGCCAGGAGCACGAGAACGAGAACAGCCCCAUCAUCACGGGCAUCAUCAGCGUCCUCUACGCCACAGAGGAGGGCUUCGCCCCGCCCGAGGACGACGAGAUCGAGGAGCAGCAGCCAGAGGACCAGGACGAGUACUAGCCCCGGCACGCUCCUCCGCCCCGCGACGAGCCGCCCCGCGUCGUCCCCCGACCAUAGACAUUCGAGGUUUUGAGUUUGUACGCCUCGCCCUGCACUAUCACACAUUAUAACAGUGUCCAACCAGCCAGGCAGCCGGGCCAGUGGUCUCCGUGGUCAGCAGAUCCCGUGGGAAGCCACUGGCUGCAUAAUAAAUAUAUAUAAAUACAUAGAGGAGAACA
Molecule: long non-coding RNA, 629 nt
Filed under: Apteryx rowi (Okarito brown kiwi)
Lineage: Eukaryota; Metazoa; Chordata; Aves; Apterygiformes; Apterygidae
Description: lncRNA (ENSARWG00000013998.1)
Source: RNAcentral